GAUGAACGCUGGCGGCGUGCCUAAUACAUGCAAGUCGAGCGAACGGACGAGAAGCUUGCUUCUCUGAUGUUAGCGGCGGACGGGUGAGUAACACGUGGAUAACCUACCUAUAAGACUGGGAUAACUUCGGGAAACCGGUGCUAAUACCGGAUAAUAUUUUGAACCGCAUGGUUCAAAAGUGAAAGACGGUCUUGCUGUCACUUAUAGAUGGAUCCGCGCUGCAUUAGCUAGUUGGUAAGGUAACGGCUUACCAAGGCAACGAUGCAUAGCCGACCUGAGAGGGUGAUCGGCCACACUGGAACUGAGACACGGUCCAGACUCCUACGGGAGGCAGCAGUAGGGAAUCUUGCGCAAUGGGCGAAAGCCUGACGGAGCAACGCCGCGUGGGUGAUGAAGGUCUUCGGAUCGUAAAACUCUUUUAUUAGGGAAGAACAUAUGUAGAAGUAACUGCGCACAUCUUGACGGUACCUAAUCAGAAAGCCACGGCUAACUACGUG
This 497-nucleotide ribosomal RNA is filed under the name uncultured bacterium. Its description in RNAcentral is "partial 16S ribosomal RNA". It matches the Rfam family "Bacterial small subunit ribosomal RNA", at positions 28 to 507 of the family's 1533-position model. The record is from RNAcentral.